Molecule: long non-coding RNA, 2667 nt
Organism: Antechinus flavipes (yellow-footed antechinus)
Lineage: Eukaryota; Metazoa; Chordata; Mammalia; Dasyuromorphia; Dasyuridae
Exons: 2
Source: RefSeq, a predicted model, not a curated record
GCAGGUCCGGCCUCCAAUCAAGAGCUCCCAAACAACCCAGGAUACAUUUAACCUUAGGGAGGGUCAGAGUGCUGGUGGGUCGCUCCUGGGUUUGUGUAGCUUGGGUAGCCGAAUGUCAAAACUGCUGGGAUAGACGCCCACGCCACGCUGAGUUGUGUAUAUUUAUUGCCACUGGCUUUGAAAUAUUUAUGAGGCGUCAGGAAAUUCUGAAAGCUAUGCUUCCGGUUGCCCUGACCCCAGCUGGAGCCUGCAGCUGGAUCUGGGCGGUGGUCAUGCUGUGCUCUGCUUAUCUUGGGACGAGAAAUAAAGACGACUUCCUGAAAGCCUAAAAGUGAGUGCUACAGAAGAUUAUGAUCCCUCUACUUUGUACAAAGUGACUUUGUAGCAGUGGAAGAAACCUUAGCGACUGGAAAGGUGCAGUGAGCAAAGAUCAACAUUUGGCUUCAGAGUACCCGAAUUUAAACGGAAAUUUAAAUCUGGAAUUUAAUCUCUAGACAUUUUAUACCUGUAUAAUUAUACAAGUGGACACGAGAUGGCCUCUGAGGUCCCUUCCUGCUCUAAAUCUAUGAAACUAUGAUGACAUAAUCUCUUUGUUUCCCUACAGCUGUAGAUGUAUUAAUUAAUCAUUAUUAUGAUUAAUAUUGAAGGAAAGAAAACAAACAUUUAUUAAGGAUCUCUUAUACAGUGUACCAUGAUCUUUACGAAUAGUUUCUCAUUUGAUCUUCACAAUAACCCUGAGACAUAAGUGCUGUUAUUAACCUCAUUUUAUAGUUGGGGACAGAGGUUAAAUGAUUUUCGUAAAAUACACACCUAAUAAAUGUCUGAGGUCAAAUUGGAAUUCAAGCCUUCCUAACUCCAAAGCCAGCACUCUAGCCCUUGUACCGCCUAGCUGCCUCUAAUAAUGAAAGGGAUGCUAGCUAGAGAUAUUAUAGUCAUAUCAUACAAAAACUGGAAUAGAAUAUAUCAAUUUUAUUGACUCCCCUAGCUUUAGGAAGGUUACUCUUUUUAAAGAAUUCUGGAUAUAAAAAUACCCUAAUUUCCCUCGGUCAUACACAUCAUAAUGAUUCUUUGUUUUGUUUUGUUUUUGGCUGAGGCAAUUGAGGUUAAGUAACUUGCCCAGGGUCACACAACUAGGACAUGUUAAGUGUCUCAGACCAGAUUUGAAUUUAGGUCCUCUUGACUUAAGAGCUGGUGCUACAUUGCGCCACCUAGCUGCCCCUCAUAAUGAUUCUUUAAAAAAGAAAAGAAUUUUUUUUUUUUAAAUCUCGACUAUACAAUCUCUAACACCCCUUUCAGGGAGGUCUCCAAGACUGAAACUAUUUUCAUAAUAACACUAAGACAUGAUUAGCCUUUUUCACUCUCAUUUUCUCACGUGGAAAUUUUCAGAAGGUUUGUGGCCUGCAAAAAUAAAGCAGCAAACAUGAAGAGGGAGUUAAUAUCUUGCCUCAAUAUAUAUAAGCUACAAAAACAAAAGUUCUUUGAGAUCUUUGACUAUUUUUAAGGAUAUAAAGGAAUUCUGGUACCAAAAAAGUUUGAAAACCAGUAUUGUAAUGCUUUUAAGGAAUGCAAAAAUUUUUUUCCUCAUAACCUUUUUAGGAUAGUAUUAAUAAAGCCCUUCAUGGGAGGAAUUUAUGACCAAAGAACAUUAUAAAAGACAAAAUAAACAACUUUGAUAAUAUUAAAUUUAAAAGGUUUUGCACAAACAAAACCAACAGAAACAAGAUUAAAAGGAAAGUACAAAGCUUGGGGGAAAAUCUACAGCCAGUGUUUCUGAUAAAGGUCUCAUUUCUAAAAUUAUAUGUGUCAAAUUUAUAAGAAUACAAGUCAUUGCUCAGUUGAUAAAUGGUCAAAGGAUAUGAACAAAAUUUUAGAUGAACAAAAUUAAAUGCUCUAAAUCAUUAUUGAUUAGAGAAAUGCAAAUUAAAACAACCCUGAGGUACCACCUCACACCUCUCAAAUUGGCUAAAAUGACCGGAAAAGACAAUGAUAAAUGUUGGAGGGAAUGUAGGAGAACUGAAACAUUAAUGCAUUGUUGUGGGAAUCAUGAAAUUAUCCAACCAUUAUGAAGAGCAAUUUAGAAGUAUGCCCAAAGGGCUAUAAAACUGUGCAUACCCUUUGACCUAGCAGUGACACUACUGUACCAUGUGCAAAAAUGUUUUAGCAGCUUUUUUUGUGGCAGCAAAGAAUGGGAAAAUCCAUCGAUUGGGAAAUCAUGGAACAAGUUAUGGUAUAUGAAGAUAAUGGAAUAUUAUUGUUCUAUAAAAAAUGAUGAACAAGCUGAUUUUAGAAAGGUCUGGGAAGAUUUACAAGAACUGAUGCUGAGAUAAACAAGCAGAAUCAGGUAUACAUUGUACACAAUAACAGCAGUACACAAUAACAACAAUAACAAAGUACGAUGAGCAACUAUGAAACACUUGUUCUCAAUGGGUCAAUGAUCCAGUGCAAUCCCAAUAUAUUUUGGAUAGAAAGUUGCUCUCUGCAUCCAGAAAAAGACCUGUGGAGAUUGAAUGUAAAUCAACAAAUGCUAUCUUAACUCCUUUUUUUCUGUUGUUUUUUUUUUUUUCCUCUCUCCCAUGGUUUUUUUCCUUUUGUUCUGAUUUUUCUCUCCCAUGAUUCCUAAAGCAAUGUGUGUUAAAAAUACAUAAAAAUAAAGCCCUUCAUAACCUA